GGCUCAAUGGUCUAGGGGUAUGAUUCCUGCUUUGGGUGCAGGAGGUCCCGGGUUCAAAUCCCGGUUGAGCCC
This is a transfer RNA of Folsomia candida, 72 nucleotides long. It matches the Rfam family "tRNA". Rfam says of the family: Transfer RNA (tRNA) molecules are approximately 80 nucleotides in length. Their secondary structure includes four short double-helical elements and three loops (D, anti-codon, and T loops). NCBI's taxonomy places the organism in Eukaryota, Metazoa, Arthropoda, Collembola, Entomobryomorpha, Isotomidae. The record is from Rfam.